RNAcentral lists this unclassified non-coding RNA (240 nucleotides) under soil metagenome. Its description in RNAcentral is "partial contains 5.8S ribosomal RNA, internal transcribed spacer 2, and large subunit ribosomal RNA". The record is from RNAcentral.
AAGACUAUAGACCUGCGGAGUACCUGCGGAAGGAUCAUUACAGGACUCGCAAGACUCCUACAACCCUGUGAACUUAACUAUAAGCACGUUGCUUCGGCGGGUGUCUCGGCGAGGGUUCUCCCUCCCCGGGGCGCUAAGCCCGCCGGCAGCCUACUAUACUCUGUCUCUUUGCGUUGGCAUCUCGAGUACAAACAAACAAGUUAAAACUUUUAGCAACGGAUCUCUAGAUCGGAAGAGCAC